Long non-coding RNA from Onychomys torridus (southern grasshopper mouse), 405 nucleotides. RefSeq lists it as uncharacterized. The record is from RefSeq and is a predicted model, not a curated record. Lineage: Eukaryota; Metazoa; Chordata; Mammalia; Rodentia; Cricetidae. The transcript has 4 exons.
UUUUCUUUGUUUGUUUGUUUUUUUUGUUUGUUUGUUUGUUUUUGGUAAUUCCAUUCUAGGUGCUAAGUACUAAUAAUGUGAUACUUUAUUGACAGAGUGAUUGUAAUUCUUAUCCAGAACACUGUUUCUGUGUUCUCUGGAAUAUUCAGCCUCUGAUUCUUAGCCCUCCAGGGAGUGUCAGGAAUGGGUUCCUUCUUGUGGCAUGAAUCUCCAGUUGGACCAUUUAUUGGUUGGCCACUCCCGCAAGUUCUGUAUCACCCUUACCCAGCACAUCUUGCAGGUAAUGUCAUUGUCACCAAAAAUCAACAUCUGUCCACCAAAAGAAACUAACAUGGGAAACAAGCCAGGACACACUCUAAGUCAAUGGCAAAACCAAUAUCGAGAUUCUUGAUAAAAGCCAGGUAU